GACGAACGCUGGCGGCGUGCCUAAUACAUGCAAGUAGAACGCUGAAGGAGGAGCUUGCUCUUCUGGAUGAGUUGCGAACGGGUGAGUAACGCGUAGGUAACCUGCCUGGUAGCGGGGGAUAACUAUUGGAAACGAUAGCUAAUACCGCAUAACAGUAGAUGUUGCAUGACAUUUACUUAAAAGGUGCAAUUGCAUCACUACCAGAUGGACCUGCGUUGUAUUAGCUAGUUGGUGGGGUAACGGCUCACCAAGGCGACGAUACAUAGCCGACCUGAGAGGGUGAUCGGCCACACUGGGACUGAGACACGGCCCAGACUCCUACGGGAGGCAGCAGUAGGGAAUCUUCGGCAAUGGACGGAAGUCUGACCGAGCAACGCCGCGUGAGUGAAGAAGGGUUUCGGAUCGUAAAGCUCUGUUGUAAGAGAAGAAAGAGUGUGAGAGUGGAAAGUUCACACUGUGACGGUAUCUUACCAGAAAGGGACGGCUAACUACGUG
RNAcentral lists this ribosomal RNA (495 nucleotides) under uncultured bacterium. RNAcentral describes it as "partial 16S ribosomal RNA". It matches the Rfam family "Bacterial small subunit ribosomal RNA", at positions 28 to 507 of the family's 1533-position model. The record is from RNAcentral.